RNAcentral lists this ribosomal RNA (253 nucleotides) under uncultured bacterium. Its description in RNAcentral is "partial 16S ribosomal RNA". It matches the Rfam family "Bacterial small subunit ribosomal RNA", at positions 524 to 776 of the family's 1533-position model. The record is from RNAcentral.
UACGGGGGGGGCAAGCGUUGUUCGGAAUUACUGGGCGUAAAGGGCUGGUAGGCGGCCAACUAAGUCGGAUGUGAAAUCCCCAGGCUUAACCUGGGAACUGCAUCCGAUACUGGUCGGCUUGAAUCCGGGAGAGGGAUGCAGAAUUCCAGGUGUAGCGGUGAAAUGCGUAGAUAUCUGGAGGAAUACCGGUGGCGAAGGCGGCAUCCUGGACCGGCAUUGACGCUGAGGCACGAAAGCGUGGGGAGCAAACAGG